Molecule: RNase P RNA, 349 nt
Filed under: Chlamydiota bacterium
Lineage: Bacteria; Pseudomonadati; Chlamydiota
Description: Chlamydiae bacterium RNase P RNA component class A
Rfam family: Bacterial RNase P class A
About the family: Ribonuclease P (RNase P) is a ubiquitous endoribonuclease, found in archaea, bacteria and eukarya as well as chloroplasts and mitochondria.
Source: RNAcentral
UGGGAAAGCUAAGCAAUCGCUGUUUUUAUAAACAGAGGAAAGUCUGGACUUCGCAGGAAAAGAUACCAGUGAAAGACUGGGGGCCGCAAGGCUACGGAAAGUAUAACAGAAAAUACACCGCCCUAAUGGGACAGGCUGAAAAUGCUAGCUUUAAGAGCUAGCCCCACUCUCAGAGAUGAGGGGUGCGAUAAACCCUAUCUGAAGCAAGAAAGUAAUGAGCGUUGUUUUUAGGAACAAUCUGUUUUUCCGCAGAGCUCAUUAGAAUAAAAUCGCUUGAGGGAUUUGGCAACAGAUUCCCUAGAUGAAUGAUUGCUCAACGACAGAAUCCGGCUUAACGCUUUCCCGGCUU